Molecule: ribosomal RNA, 1337 nt
Filed under: uncultured Microbacteriaceae bacterium
Lineage: Bacteria; Bacillati; Actinomycetota; Actinomycetes; Micrococcales; Microbacteriaceae
Description: bacterial SSU rRNA
Rfam family: Bacterial small subunit ribosomal RNA
Source: RNAcentral
UUGCUGGGUGGAUUAGUGGCGAACGGGUGAGUAACACGUGAGUAACCUGCCCCUGACUCUGGGAUAAGCGUUGGAAACGACGUCUAAUACUGGAUAUGAUCACUGGCCGCAUGGUCUGGUGGUGGAAAGAUUUUUUGGUUGGGGAUGGACUCGCGGCCUAUCAGCUUGUUGGUGAGGUAAUGGCUCACCAAGGCGACGACGGGUAGCCGGCCUGAGAGGGUGACCGGCCACACUGGGACUGAGACACGGCCCAGACUCCUACGGGAGGCAGCAGUGGGGAAUAUUGCACAAUGGGCGAAAGCCUGAUGCAGCAACGCCGCGUGAGGGAUGACGGCCUUCGGGUUGUAAACCUCUUUUAGUAGGGAAGAAGCGAAAGUGACGGUACCUGCAGAAAAAGCACCGGCUAACUACGUGCCAGCAGCCGCGGUAAUACGUAGGGUGCAAGCGUUGUCCGGAAUUAUUGGGCGUAAAAGAGCUCGUAGGCGGUUUGUCGCGUCUGCUGUGAAAUCCCGAGGCCUCAACCUCGGGCUUGCAGUGGGUACGGGCAGACUAGAGUGCGGUAGGGGAGAUUGGAAUUCCUGGUGUAGCGGUGGAAUGCGCAGAUAUCAGGAGGAACACCGAUGGCGAAGGCAGAUCUCUGGGCCGUAACUGACGCUGAGGAGCGAAAGCAUGGGGAGCGAACAGGAUUAGAUACCCUGGUAGUCCAUGCCGUAAACGUUGGGCGCUAGAUGUAGGGACCUUUCCACGGUUUCUGUGUCGUAGCUAACGCAUUAAGCGCCCCGCCUGGGGAGUACGGCCGCAAGGCUAAAACUCAAAGGAAUUGACGGGGGCCCGCACAAGCGGCGGAGCAUGCGGAUUAAUUCGAUGCAACGCGAAGAACCUUACCAAGGCUUGACAUACACCGGAAACGGCCAGAGAUGGUCGCCCCCUUGUGGUCGGUGUACAGGUGGUGCAUGGUUGUCGUCAGCUCGUGUCGUGAGAUGUUGGGUUAAGUCCCGCAACGAGCGCAACCCUCGUUCUAUGUUGCCAGCGGGUUAUGCCGGGGACUCAUAGGAGACUGCCGGGGUCAACUCGGAGGAAGGUGGGGAUGACGUCAAAUCAUCAUGCCCCUUAUGUCUUGGGCUUCACGCAUGCUACAAUGGCCGGUACAAAGGGCUGCGAUACCGUAAGGUGGAGCGAAUCCCAAAAAGCCGGUCUCAGUUCGGAUUGAGGUCUGCAACUCGACCUCAUGAAGUCGGAGUCGCUAGUAAUCGCAGAUCAGCAACGCUGCGGUGAAUACGUUCCCGGGCCUUGUACACACCGCCCGUCAAGUCAUGAAAGUCGGUAACACCCGAAGC